Molecule: long non-coding RNA, 4360 nt
Filed under: Canis lupus familiaris (dog)
Lineage: Eukaryota; Metazoa; Chordata; Mammalia; Carnivora; Canidae
Description: lncRNA (ENSCAFG00845020951.1)
Source: RNAcentral
UUUUUUUUUCUUUCUGUAUAUAGUAUAAAAGUGCAAGGUGAAGCAGCAAGUGCUAACAUACAAGCUGUAGCAAGUUAUCCAGAAGAUCCAGCUAAGAUAAUUAACGAAAGUGGCUAUGCUAAACAAGAGAUUUUCAGUGUAGACAAAACAGCCUUAUAUUGGAUGAAGAUGUCAUCUAGAACUUUCAUAGGUGAAGAGAAGUCAAUGCCUACUUUCAAAGCUUCAAAGGACAAGCUGACUUUCUAGUUAAGGGCUAAUGCAGCUGGUGAUUUUAUUAGAAGCCAAUGCCCAUUGACCAUUCUGAAAUUCUAGGGCCCUUAAGAAUUAUGUAACAUCUACUCUCCCUGUGCUUUGUAAGUGGAACAAAAAAGCAUAGAUGACAGCACAUCUGUUUAUGACACAGUUUACUGAAUAUUUUAAGCCCACUGCUGAGAACUACUGUUUAGAAAAAAAAGAUUCCUUGAGAAAUAUUACUGCUUACUGACAUCACAUCUGGUCAUCCAAGAGCUCUGAUGGAGAUAUACAAUGAAAUUAAUGUUGUCUUCACGCCUGCUAACAAAACAUCCAUUCUGCAGUCCAUGGAUCAUGGAGUCAUUUCAACUUUCAAGUCUUAUUAUCUAAGAAAUAUGUGUCAUAAAGCUACAGCUGCCAUAGAUAGUGAUUCCUUUGAUGGAUCUGGGCAAAGUAAAUUGAAACCUUCUAGGAAGGAUUCACCAAUCUCGAUGCCAUUCAAAACAUUUGUGAUUGAUGGGAAGAGGUCAAAAUAUCAACAUCAACAAGAGUUUGAAAGAAGUUGACUGCAGUCCUCAUGAUGAUUUUGAGCAGUUCAAGCCUUCAAUGAAUGAAGUAACCUCAAUGUGGUAGAAAUACCAAGAGAAUUAGAAGUGGAGCCUGAAGAUGUAACUGAACUGUACAAUCUCAUGAUAAAACAUGAAUGGAUGAGGAGCUGCUACUUCUGUACGAACAAAGAAAGUAGUUUCUUGAGAUGUAAUCUACUCCUGGUGAAGAUGCUCUGAAGACUGUUGAAAUGACAACAAAGAAUUUAGAUAGAAUAUUACAUGCUUUCAAGCAGCAAUGCAUGCUACAGAGAAAUUAUUCAUGAAAAGAAGAGUCAGUCGAUACAGCAAACUUGUCUUAUUUUAAGAAAUUGCCACAGCCACUCCAACCUUCAGCAACCAACAUCCUGAUCAGUCAGUCAGCAGCCAUCAGCAUCGAGGCAAGAUCUUCCCCCAGCAAAAAGAUUAGGACUCACUGAAAGCUCAGAAUAUGGUUAGCAUUUUAGCAAUAAAGUAUUUGUUAAUUAAGGUAUGUACACUGUCCAAUUAAUAGACUAGUAUACAGAGUAAACAUAACUUUCAUAUGCAGAGGGAAACAAAAAAUUUCAUCUGACUCCCUUUAUCAUGAUAUAUGCUCACAUUUCCGAGGUAUGCCUAUAUACUACAGAAGUCAAAAUUAUCCUGAAAGGCUAGGAAACAGUCAUUCCAUCACCUACUCAAGACAUAAGCUCCUACUCAAUGGUAGGCACUAGGCUAGAUGCUGGAGAAAGGAAGUUUGUAACUGAGGUCCAGGGAGGGAGACAUACAUAUAAAGAAAUAACAGCAAUUGUACAACAUGCACUAGACUCGGUGGAGCACAAGGGAGUGAUGAGCUGGGAAAAUCAUGAGACUGACUGGUGUCUUGGUUCUGUUACCCAGCAGAACCUUCUUCUAUAAAUAACUUCUCUUCCAAAUGUUUAUGCUUUCAAAGGGCAAGGAGAUCCUUAGAGAACAGAAGAUUUACACACUGGUUGGUUAUUCUCCACUUGCCCCUCCCCACUCCACAUCCACGACCCACCCUUCUCUGCCCUUCUCUUGCCUCCAGGAACUGGAGCCUCUAUAAAAUGCAUUAUCCAGAAUCCCUUACUCUAGCUCUCCGAUGGAGCUGCCUAACAGAAGACACCAGCGAAAGACUAGAGAGGAGAGAGGAGAGUUGACAUAUUUGUCAACUCCUCUCCCAGGCUCCCGUCUCCCCGCCUGCCCCAGUCCUGCCUGUAGCUGGAUCUAUGCUUACAGUUCCAGGGGCAGUUCUCACUGGGGCCCAGGAAUGCGGCUUCCUCCCUCAUUCCUUCUGGCCUGGAGACAGAGUCAGCUCCUACCUCGGCUACCUGUGGAGUGCUUUGCCAUCACCUGGGGUCUCCCUGAGUCCUCCCCUCAACUCUUUAAACAUUCCUUCAAUUAAAUGCUCCUCAGGUAAACUCAGACAUGCCAUCCCUUGCCGGCCAGAACUCUAACUGAAACCACAGUUUUCUGCGACUAUGAAAUCCAAUUUCUAAAAAAUAUCUGAACAAGGCUCACGUUUUCAAAGAGUCUGAAAUCUGGACAACGUCAUCAAUGUCCAACAUUUAUCAAAUAACUACCUUGGAUAGCUCUGAUCAUGCGCUAGGUAUGCCAGUUUUGACUAAUGUUUGCAUCUCUCCUGGACUUGGUUUGAGAUCUUCAAAAAAGGGAAUCUUUUUUUUCUUUAAAGAUUUUAUUUAUUUAUUUAUGAGAAACACAGAGAGAGAGGCAGAGACACAGGCAGAGAAGAAGCAGGCUCCCUGCAGGGAGCCCGAUGUGGGACUUGAUCCCAGGACCCGGGGAUCAUGACCUGAGCCAAAGGCAGAUGCUCAACCACUGAGCCACCCAGGCGACCCAAAAAAAGGGAGUCUUAAGAGCAGUUGUAGGUAUUUUAGGAGUGAGUCAGACUUUUUUUUUUUUUAAAUGUAAUGGGAUGAAUUAAGCACCUGACUGAGGGUUCUGAGAACAGAGAAUGGUCAGUUCAUUGAUGUUCCCAGAAAAGCUUUCAUCCCAGGGCUAUACAACGCCUUUCUGCUCAAAUCUGCAUUCUAAUCAUUCAAGCAGCCAAAACACUGCCACCUGUCAUAAUAACCAUCUUGGCAUACUAUAGAUUUGUUUUGUUUAAGAGAAAAACCAAACUGACUUUAACUACACUAGUUUCAAAUCUGCAACAGCUCUGAUUCAUGGAAUUAACAAGUAAAAGUGUGUCCUAUGAUUCUGAGUGGCGUCAUUCUGAUUCCAGAAAAAUCACUCAUGAUUUACUCAGGCUACAAUGACGAAUACAAGAUAAAAACAAUGUUUGUUCCUUAGACCGAGGUAAGCCAAACACAUUAGAUGAGUCUGUUUCAGCGAAAAAUAUUGUUCUUGUGUAUGCUUUUUAGAAGUCUUCACCAUUCUUUUUUCCCUCACCAGAUAUUCACUUACUGGCCAUGGGAUGUUUUGUUUUGUUUUGUUUUGUUUGGCAUUCAUCUUGAGUGCCUGUGCUACAGUAUUGUUGUUGUUUUUAUGCUGGUAUUUAUUUUUUGAUUUCUAUUUAUUUCAAUGUGACCUUCUUCUCCUUGCCACUCUUCUACCCCUGUUCUUGCGUUCUUUUUUCUUUUUUUUUAGAUUUUAUUUACUCAUGAGACACACACACACAGAGGCUGAGACACAGAGGGAGGAGCAGGAUCCCUGCAGAGAGCCCCAUGCGGGACUCAAUCCCAAGACCCCGGGAUCAUGACCUGAGCUGAAGGCAGACGCUCAACCACUGAGCCAGGCAGGCAUCCCACCCUUGUUCUCUUGAUGCACUUUUCUUUCAUUCUCUCCCUUCCCUGGUUGUCAGAUCAUGGCAUAACCUCAUCUCCCCACAACAUUAGCAAAGUGCCCUAAAAUUGACAAAUGCACUUCCGCUGCUAAAGACAGAGUUCCUCCCUUCGGAUGAGGCAUUCCCACUGGGACUUGGGUUAUCCUUUGGGCAUUUGAUUAGAAGCAAGUGAGGUUGCCCAGGCAACCGCUCCAAACUGUCCUAGGAUCCCUGGCAAGCAUGGUUUACGCAGCCUGAUGUGAAGGUCACACUAGCCAACCCUGCGACAGUUAAAGUCUCUAUGCAAUCAACCAAGGGCUCAGGGAACAUCCAUCAAGAUGAGCUCAAUAACAUUUGCAUAAUCAUAAAAUUGUCAGACUCUCAAAGCCAUAAGGACCCAUGUGAACAAUCUAUUUCAAAGAGCCAAAGAUAUUAGCUUUGAAAAGGAAUAACAAUAGAUAAGUGUGGUAAAAUCAUUAAAAAGAAUAUAUCAAAAACCAACCAGAUGGAAUCCAAUCACUUAGCUGGUAAAAAUACUUAAGCUACUCAGUUUUCUCAAAUGAUUUAAAAACAGUUCUACUCCGAGGCAAGGCAAUAAACUGAAAGGCCUGGAAAAAAAUCACUCCAUACCUUUACUCCUUAUAAUUUCCUUAGAUCAGAAGUGUUUAAGAUAUUAUUCUCAAAUAGUGAGACACCCGCAUCAGGCUCCCCCUGGGGAGCCUGCUUCUCCCUCUGCCUAUGUCUCAGCCUCUGUGUGUGUGUC